This 585-nucleotide ribosomal RNA is filed under the name Triticum aestivum (bread wheat). Its description in RNAcentral is "partial small subunit ribosomal RNA". Lineage: Eukaryota; Viridiplantae; Streptophyta; Magnoliopsida; Poales; Poaceae. The record is from RNAcentral.
AUGUGGACCUGUCUUCGUCAGCGCUAUGAGCCCUCUGGUGAUGCCUUAUACCUUUCUGUGGUUCGUCAGGACCAUGCUCUUCAGCAGGGUGACUCUACUGUUGAUGACUUUUAUGCACAGAGUUCUGCUAUCUGGCGCCAGCUUGAUUCUCUCCGCAGUGCUGGUUGUCGUACUUGCCCCUGCUGCCAGGCUUUCCAGGCCGAUUUGGAGUUUCAUCGCGUCUACGAGUUCCUGUCUCGGCUCCGUAAGGAGUUUGAGCCCCGGCGUGCUCAGUUGUUUGCUCGUGGCCGUAUUUCUCUCAUGGAGGCGCUUUCAGAGAUUCGUGCUGAGGAGACUCGCCUACGUGGUGCUGGUUUGCUGGAGGUUCCCUCUGUGCUCGCUACUCGGGCUUCUUCCACUCCACCUGCUGCACCGCCCCAUUCUCGCUCGAGUGCUCCGCCGCUCUUGCCCACUCCUUCUGGAGGCUCAGGUCGCCCCCGUCCACACUGUGACUACUGCAACAAUGAUGGUCAUAUUGAGUCCCAGUGCUACACAAAGCGGAAACACCUGCGCAAGGCGCGAUCAUCCUCCUAAGGGACUUCGUCA